This 447-nucleotide ribosomal RNA is filed under the name uncultured bacterium. RNAcentral describes it as "partial 16S ribosomal RNA". It matches the Rfam family "Bacterial small subunit ribosomal RNA", at positions 29 to 523 of the family's 1533-position model. The record is from RNAcentral.
AGCGAACGCUGGCGGCAGGCUUAACACAUGCAAGUCGAACGCCCCGCAAGGGGAGUGGCAGACGGGUGAGUAACACGUGGGAACGUACCCUUUGGUUCGGAAUAACUUGGGGAAACUCAAGCUAAUACCGGAUAAGCCCUUAUGGGGAAAGGUUUACUGCCGAAGGAUCGGCCCGCGUCUGAUUAGCUAGUUGGUGAGGUAAUGGCUCACCAAGGCGACGAGAAGUAGCUGGUCUGAGAGUAGGAUCAGCCACACUGGGACUGAGACACGGCCCAGACUCCUACGGGAGGCAGCAGUGGGGAAUAUUGGACAAUGGGGGCAACCUUGAUCCAGCCAUGCCGCGUGAGUGAUGAAGGCCUUAGGGUUGUAAAGCUCUUUUACCCGGGACGAUAAUGACUGUACCGGGAGAAUAAGCCCCGGCUAACUUCGUGCCAGCAGCCGCAGUAA